GACGAACGCUGGCGGCGUGCUUAACACAUGCAAGUCGAACGGAAAGGCCCUGCUUUUGUGGGGUGCUCGAGUGGCGAACGGGUGAGUAACACGUGAGUAACCUGCCCUUGACUUUGGGAUAACUUCAGGAAACUGGGGCUAAUACCGGAUAGGAGCUCCUGCUGCAUGGUGGGGGUUGGAAAGUUUCGGCGGUUGGGGAUGGACUCGCGGCUUAUCAGCUUGUUGGUGGGGUAGUGGCUUACCAAGGCUUUGACGGGUAGCCGGCCUGAGAGGGUGACCGGCCACAUUGGGACUGAGAUACGGCCCAGACUCCUACGGGCGGCAGCAGGGGGGAAUAUUGCACAAUGGGCGGAAGCCUGAUGCAGCAACGCCGCGUGCGGGAUGACGGCCUUCGGGUUGUAAACCGCUUUCGCCUGUGACGAAGCGUGAGUGACGGUAAUGGGUAAAGAAGCACCGGCUAACUACGUG
This 468-nucleotide ribosomal RNA is filed under the name uncultured bacterium. Its description in RNAcentral is "partial 16S ribosomal RNA". It matches the Rfam family "Bacterial small subunit ribosomal RNA", at positions 28 to 507 of the family's 1533-position model. The record is from RNAcentral.